GGCUCAGGAUGAACGCUGGCGGCGUGCCUAAUACAUGCAAGUCGAGCGAAUGGAUURAGAGCUUGCUCUYAWGAAGUUAGCGGCGGACGGGUGAGUAACACGUGGGUAACCUGCCCAUAAGACUGGGAUAACUCCGGGAAACCGGGGCUAAUACCGGAUAACAUUUUGAACUGCAUGGUUCGAAAUUGAAAGGCGGCUUCGGCUGUCACUUAUGGAUGGACCCGCGUCGCAUUAGCUAGUUGGUGAGGUAACGGCUCACCAAGGCAACGAUGCGUAGCCGACCUGAGAGGGUGAUCGGCCACACUGGGACUGAGACACGGCCCAGACUCCUACGGGAGGCAGCAGUAGGGAAUCUUCCGCAAUGGACGAAAGUCUGACGGAGCAACGCCGCGUGAGUGAUGAAGGCUUUCGGGUCGUAAAACUCUGUUGUUAGGGAAGAACAAGUGCUAGUUGAAUAAGCUGGCACCUGAC
This 471-nucleotide ribosomal RNA is filed under the name Bacillus sp. R-45535. RNAcentral's name for it is "bacterial SSU rRNA". It matches the Rfam family "Bacterial small subunit ribosomal RNA", at positions 21 to 483 of the family's 1533-position model. The record is from RNAcentral. Lineage: Bacteria; Bacillati; Bacillota; Bacilli; Caryophanales; Bacillaceae.